UACGAAGGAUGCAAGCGUUGUCCGGGUUUAUUGGGUUUAAAGGGUGCGUAGGCGGCCUAUUAAGUUAGUGGUGAAAACGUUCGGCUUAACCGGAUACCCGCCAUUGAUACUGAUAGACUUGAGUGCGACAGAGGGUGUUGGAAUGUGUGGUGUAGCGGUGAAAUGCUUAGAUAUCACGCAGAACACCAAUUGCGAAGGCAGAUGCCUAUGUCGUAACUGACGCUGAGGCACGAAAGCGUGGGCAUCAAACAGG
Molecule: ribosomal RNA, 253 nt
Filed under: uncultured bacterium
Lineage: Bacteria
Description: partial 16S ribosomal RNA
Rfam family: Bacterial small subunit ribosomal RNA
Source: RNAcentral